UGUUGUAACCUCUCCCUGCGCACUCCUCUCUCCCCGUCACUAAAAGACCUUCUGGUCUCUUGCCCUGUCUCCUUUGUUUUUGUAGAAGAGACAUGUCUCUAAAAUAGACAUUCAUCGAUGAAGAUACUGGGCCACCAGGAGGCUGAGCAACUGCUCCCGCUAGCAGAGCCGCCAGUCACAGUCAGCUGCAUUUGGACUGAGAUCGCGCCCCCUGGUCCCGGCAGGAUGGGACCCGGCAUCGGGCCUAAGAAAGCGCUGAAGCCGGCAUCUCUGAUGCGAUCAAUGUCUUCCUCAGAUACACACCGAGGGGCCGGCAUGAAGUGGGCACCGGGCACUGAGUCCAGCAGUCAACGGCCACCAAGGUCUGGCUGCUUGAGAAUCGCAGCUGCCAAACAAGCAAGCCGGGGGAGAGCAACCAUCACGGAGGGGACCGCGAGGUGGAGGGUCAUAGGCAAAGGACAGCAUAGCUGGAAGAAAGAAAGAGCACGGAUCCUCGAUGGCUUUCUUAACUGGCCACCCUGUGGUCCAAGGGUCCUCACCAGCUGGAAAUAGCAUAGUACAACCGGUCGGUGCGCUGUUCAGUCCACCCUGCUACACACAGCCAAGCUUCCCCAACGUUUCCAGGGGCAGUGAAUGGUAUCUGUGACCUAGAAGACCCUGGUCCUUCCACAUGAGGAAGUCUGAAAUGACCCUUGCUCAUCUAGUGAACUCGGCAGAGCUGAGACAAAUCUCCAUGAUGUGCAGAAGCACACAGUGAAAGGGAUCACGCAGGCACUGGAUUUGUGAAAUCAGCAGAGAGGGGGAUCCUGUGACUGACUUCAUCAGCCGCCCGAGUCCAAACUAGACCUGGACCUUAAUGCACCCAGAGAAAGAGCCGCUCGGAGUGGAGCAUCCGUGCCUGGCUUCUGAGUGCUUCACUAGCUCUCAUCCUAUGAUGGGAAGGACCCUCUGGCCUCCCAGCAGUGACCCUGAUGUACAGCCUGGAACUCUUCUCUAGUGGCUGAAGAAAAGACACCGCACCAAAUUACCAAACGGGCCUUUGGUGGCGGAGGCCAGCUAGCUCACCGCGGAAUUCAUUCACCGAGGUCCAAACCUGUGUUGUUGAUAACCACCAGGGUGAGGGCGGAGUUUCGCUUCAUUACCAGUCCUGGACAGGCUCUUGUCCUGGCUGUACCUCAGUUUCUCUCAACGCUAAGAGCUGCAGUAAAGGCGCCAGGAGAGAAGCUGGUCUCAGAUCCACAGGUGGAAAAGCGCCCACAUCUGCCUGGCAAAUGGAGAUGAGAGAGGAGGAUGAAACUGUUCCCGUGUCCUCAGAUGCCUUCACUUUCUGGUUUUUAGCCUAAUUUAUAAGGAGCACAUUAAACAAGGGUAGAUGCCAAUCAUACCCCGCCUAUGGGAAUACCUCUGUCAUCCCAGCUACUCCAGAGGCUGAGGCAGGAGGAUGCCAAGGUUAGGGAGACUCUGUCUCAAAAUAAAAUUUUAGAAUGACUGGAGGUGUGGCUUAGUGGUAAAGAACCCCUGCGUUCAAUCCCCAGUACCACAAAAAGAAGAGAAAAAAUGAGAUCUAAUGCAAUUUCAAUUAAAAGAUAAUCUAAAAAAAGGAAAAGGCAACCUCCCUGUCCUACAGGGUCAAUUAAUCAAAGACCAGAAAGUGUUUCGUACACUGUCUAAAGGAUUCCCCAGGACCCACGUAUUCCUGCUGAGCUCUGAAAAGGGUGCGUGUUCAAAUGCAAUGGGUUUAUUGUUGUCGUUGAUCUUUAAUAUCUGAAGGUAGGACUUGAUCUUUUUAAUAGGACAUAUAUUUUAGAGGACAGAUGAUGAAGACUGUCAUUUUGGGUAUUUCCUAUUCCUUUACAGACCCCAAACCACAACAGUGAGCACAAAAGGAGUUAAUAACUCUAAGGGGAGAGAGACAGACAGACACACAAGGACAGAUGAGAGACAGAGGCAGAGAACUGAAUGUUCGCUUCUCUCUCGGCCCAGAAGUCUUGGUGAGCCUGCAGUCCACCUGGUUCCAGGCAGGAAGAGCCCUGCAUCGGCUUCCCAGCCCACCUGCCCUGGGAGCCUCUUGACGGUCAGUUCAGGGCAUCUCUGGCUGUCCAUGAGCUGUUUCUCCGGGGAUUUGGUUUAGCUGGCUCCUUUUAUUUGUUUUGGAGAUGACACUGUGCUGGAAACCUACCCAAGUGUCCACAUUAAAAACAGAAAGGGGCCCUCCCCUCCCCCGUCCCACGUCCCAGGCUUCCUGUGUCAAUGGCAAGAACUGAUUCUUGUCCUUUGUCUGUAUUUUCACACUCUCUUGUGUGCACACACACAAUACAUGCUUUCCUUAAAAUAACGCAGCGGUCCCCCGCCGACAACUGUGUCUCACUCCGCUCCAUGGCUUUAGGGUUGCGAGGGCAAACCUCCAGCUCAUCUCCCUCCUCCUGGCCUCUCUUGAAGACUCACUGGCUGGAAACACUGAUUUUCCCCUGGAGGAAGCGGUGCCCUCUCGCUAGAAACGGCCUCCCUGGGGCUGGAGGUUUAGCUCAGCGGCCUAAGCACCUGACUUGCAAGCAGGAAGUCGUGAGUUCGAUCCCCAGUACUGGUAAAAAGGAAAAAGACAAAAAAAAAAAAAAAAGAAA
This is a long non-coding RNA of Cavia porcellus (domestic guinea pig), 2621 nucleotides long. RefSeq lists it as uncharacterized. Lineage: Eukaryota; Metazoa; Chordata; Mammalia; Rodentia; Caviidae. The record is from RefSeq and is a predicted model, not a curated record. The transcript has 3 exons.